Molecule: ribosomal RNA, 468 nt
Filed under: uncultured bacterium
Lineage: Bacteria
Description: partial 16S ribosomal RNA
Rfam family: Bacterial small subunit ribosomal RNA
Source: RNAcentral
GACGAACGCUGGCGGCGUGCUUAACACAUGCAAGUCGAACGGAAAGGCCCUGCUUUUGUGGGGUGCUCGAGUGGCGAACGGGUGAGUAACACGUGAGUAACCUGCCCUUGACUUUGGGAUAACUUCAGGAAACUGGGGCUAAUACCGGAUAGGAGCUCCUGCUGCAUGGUGGGGGUUGGAAAGUUUCGGCGGUUGGGGAUGGACUCGCGGCUUAUCAGCUUGUUGGUGGGGUAGUGUCUUACCAAGGCUUUGACGGGUAGCCGGGCUGAGAGGGCGACCGGCUAAAUUGGGACUGAGAUACGGCCCAGCCUCCUACGGGAGGCAGCAGUGGGGAAUAUUGUACAAUGGGCGGAAGCCUGAUGCAGCAACGCCGCGUGCGGGAUGACGGCCUUCGGGUUGUAAACCGCUUUCGCCUGUGACGAAGCGUGAGUGACGGUAAUGGGUAAAGAAGCACCGGCUAACUACGUG